CGGAGAAUCAGUAAAUUAAAAAAGCAAUGAUUUAAAGAGUCGCUCUCUGGUUUGAUUUCAUUCUUGACAGGUGCAAAAAAUACUGCUGGUCUUAAUUUGAAUAAUGUUUUUCCAAGGUCUUGAGGUCCUCAUAUAGAAGCUUAUCUCACCAUUCUGAUGGCUUCAGCACUAUACAGUGCAUCAUACAGCAUCUAAACUAUGUCCUGUAGCAAGCCAUUGGUUUUCUGCAGAGAAACCAACCAGCACUUACAUAAUUUAUCAGUUUUCAUAAGUUGCUUUAUUGUCUAUUGAUCCGUGAUGCGUUUUUUCAUCAAACAAAUGGAACAUUGUGCCAAUUUCUGCUAAGCCUUCACUUCCACUGCAGUUAUUAGUUUCAUGAAUUUCCUCGAAACACAAUAUCCAGAGCAUGUCCUUUUAAUUUAGAGAGGCUUAAUUCCUAAUCUGAUUCAUUUUAUUCUGUCUUGACGGUUUUUUUUUUUUUUCCUUUUUUUGCUUCUUUGCAAAAAAGAUGAUUUUGCAGCGCCGCUGUGGACUCGCAGCCUUUGCUGUGUAAAUCAGCAGGUGCCCCUCGGUGCCGCUGAUGUGACUUGACUGAUUUGACCCUUCUGUUCGGUAUCAAUCACUGCGCAUUAGCUGUCACCACCUGCGCGACGCAGAAAAAGUUCGCAGGGCGCACCUGUUCCCGGAUCAAUGAGACGUUUCCUCCGUGAAGAGGGAAAAAAAACGCAGCUCGCUCCAUUAAAAGCCAUCGAUUACACAUCCCAGCAACUUCAGCUUUUAGAGAAAUAAGCCAGAAGGGGACGGAGGACGGAGGCGAAUGAGCACGUGAUGGGAAUCGGGCAGCAUCAAAACACCGACUGUGAGCGCCCGCCGCAGAAAAGCCGUGUCCCCAGAAUACUAAUGACGGGAUAAGCGACGGGACAAUAAACGCACAGAAUAUCCAAGUGGAGCAUACAUUAACUUGGGCGCGUUGUGGAAAUGAAGAGCGCGACACAUGGCCGCAACAGCCGCCGCUGCGCCGCGACGAUCCACUGGAAUUACUCACCAAAAGAAGAGGGGACAACUUCACGGACGGCGCCUGGCGCUAAAAGUUGCGCUUUUUUCUCCCUCCACGCUGCGCACGGAGAGGGGGGGAGAAAAAGCGUACGUCGAAAUGAAGAGUUCAAAAGUGUUGAUGGUGAAAUUAGUCCUGGUGGCGGAGCUCGGCUGCCGGAGUGCUGCUUCUGCUUCUGUGCAGGGAUCCCCAGCUGCGGGGUUUCGUGCGUGUUAUCUAUCUGUCGCUUACACGGGCAACUGGGGACGCGCGGCAGCGGCGCGGGGAGACGAGGAAACGGAGACGCUCCGCUCUCAUCUGAGCCAAACGCUCCGCCGACCGCAGUUGAGAGAGAGAGGGAGAGAGAGAGAAACAGAGAGAGAAACAGAGAGAGAGCCUAUCGAAAUAGUUUGACCAAAAUAAGUUGGCGGGGAGGGAGCCAGAAACACACGCAGCGCUUCUGGCAGCGACGACGAAAAACCAAAAUUUCCAAACGUGCCAAGACUUUGGCAGCAGAUGGCUGCGCGUUCCGUGAAAUGGUUUCCUCGCUGCUGAUUAGAAUCCCAGGAAAAAAUGACUAUUUGUUGCAUUAAAAUUGCAUCUUGUCUAAAAAUCCCAUUCAAUAAUUUACCGGGCGUCUUUUUUUUCCUUAAUGUUGCCGUCUUCACACGAUUCACACUUUCCAGAUAUUUGGGCUCGUUCUGUUGCGAGUUGAGUUUUUCAUCCAAUUAGCCGCACACUGAGCGCGUGUGCGGUGACAGAGGAAUGCAGCGUGAGGCUGGCCUCUCUAAACCACCGCACCUCCACUCUGUGCUCGCAGACCCUCCAAACCCGCCGCUAUUACUUACACUCCUAAUUAGUGACAGUAAACAUACAGUGUGCAGCAGCCUCUGCAGUUAAUAAGCACAUGCAUCUGCACAGGGAACAGCGCUGUUCUCCUCAAAGCCUUGUCAAAGUCAACAGUUUCACUUUUUUUCCUGCAGGUGGUUUACAUUUAUACAUUUGUUUCAAAGUGCACGGCUGAUUUCACAUUUCCAAUUUCGGUUUGAACACAUUCCUGGGCAUUAGUCACAAAUGGAUUAUCCUCUUUGUGUUUUUCAACAGAUAUU
Molecule: long non-coding RNA, 2142 nt
Filed under: Betta splendens (Siamese fighting fish)
Lineage: Eukaryota; Metazoa; Chordata; Actinopteri; Anabantiformes; Osphronemidae
Description: lncRNA (ENSBSLG00000019743.1)
Source: RNAcentral